RNAcentral lists this ribosomal RNA (225 nucleotides) under Florenciella parvula. Its description in RNAcentral is "partial Bacterial large subunit ribosomal RNA". It matches the Rfam family "Bacterial large subunit ribosomal RNA", at positions 693 to 917 of the family's 2925-position model. The record is from RNAcentral. Lineage: Eukaryota; Dictyochophyceae; Florenciellales.
CGACUAGUAACAUGGUGUAGACCCGAAACCGCAGUGAUCUAUCCAUGGUCAGGUUGAAGCGCAGGUAAAAAUGCGUGGAGGACCGAACCCGUGAGUGUUGAAAAACUUUGGGAUGAACCGUGGAUAGGGGUGAAAUGCCAAUCGAACGCGGAGAUAGCUGGUACUCCCCGAAAUAGCUUUAGGGCUAGCCUCAGGGAAGAUUAUAGACGGUAGAGCACUGAUCUG